This is a non-coding RNA of Oryza barthii, 186 nucleotides long. The record is from Rfam. NCBI's taxonomy places the organism in Eukaryota, Viridiplantae, Streptophyta, Magnoliopsida, Poales, Poaceae.
AAAAAGCCAAACCCUAGGUUUUCGUGUCCAACUUUGAAAUUUUUUUAUAAUUUGUAUUUUCAUUGUUGUUAGAUGAUAAAACAUGAAUAAUAUUUUAUGCGUGACUUGUCUUUUUAAUUUUUUUAUAAUUUUUUCAAAUAAAACGGAUGGUCAACGUUGGACACGGAAACCAGGGUUUGUCUUUUU